UACUUUAGAUGCUUGAUUUAUUGUUGUUAUGAUGAUUUUAAGUGUUAGAGUUGUAGUCCUACAUGUUGUCUACACACUGGGAUUGAUAGAUCACGUAAACGUUACACGAUCGUCAAGUUAUAGAGGUCCAAAGUAGGCAUCACGAACUGUUCUUCACGAAGAACAGCUCUGACAGCUACUUUGAGGUACGAUUUCUCUCAGAUAUGAUGUUGUUUUGAGGUAAUGAUUGUUGGUAAUUGUAGUCUGGUAUUUCCUCUACAAGACCCAAUUCAUAGAUUGCCCAGAUUCAUUAAGACCAAAAAGUUAUUCAUGGUCAAAGUAGCCCCCCUUGAACUGUCUCUGACAGUGUUCUUGAGAUGAAGAACACCUAUAGCGACGGUUGUCUGUCGCUAUAGCCUUUAGCGACGGAUUUUAUUUAUUUUAUUUUCUGUAAUUUCCGAAAAUGAUUUAAAAAUUAGAAAAAUUAGAUUUUAAUUAUUAAAAAUACUUAUUAAAUUCUAAAAAAUUAUUUUA
Molecule: long non-coding RNA, 513 nt
Filed under: Panax ginseng (ginseng)
Lineage: Eukaryota; Viridiplantae; Streptophyta; Magnoliopsida; Apiales; Araliaceae
Description: long non-coding RNA (PGIN_LNC007606)
Source: RNAcentral